This 490-nucleotide ribosomal RNA is filed under the name Salmonella enterica subsp. enterica serovar Muenchen. Its description in RNAcentral is "partial 16S ribosomal RNA". It matches the Rfam family "Bacterial small subunit ribosomal RNA", at positions 1 to 480 of the family's 1533-position model. Lineage: Bacteria; Pseudomonadati; Pseudomonadota; Gammaproteobacteria; Enterobacterales; Enterobacteriaceae. The record is from RNAcentral. RNAcentral also lists the same sequence under 5 other names.
AAAUUGAAGAGUUUGAUCAUGGCUCAGAUUGAACGCUGGCGGCAGGCCUAACACAUGCAAGUCGAACGGUAACAGGAAGCAGCUUGCUGCUUCGCUGACGAGUGGCGGACGGGUGAGUAAUGUCUGGGAAACUGCCUGAUGGAGGGGGAUAACUACUGGAAACGGUGGCUAAUACCGCAUAACGUCGCAAGACCAAAGAGGGGGACCUUCGGGCCUCUUGCCAUCAGAUGUGCCCAGAUGGGAUUAGCUUGUUGGUGAGGUAACGGCUCACCAAGGCGACGAUCCCUAGCUGGUCUGAGAGGAUGACCAGCCACACUGGAACUGAGACACGGUCCAGACUCCUACGGGAGGCAGCAGUGGGGAAUAUUGCACAAUGGGCGCAAGCCUGAUGCAGCCAUGCCGCGUGUAUGAAGAAGGCCUUCGGGUUGUAAAGUACUUUCAGCGGGGAGGAAGGUGUUGCGGUUAAUAACCGCAGCAAUUGACGUUACCC